Molecule: long non-coding RNA, 582 nt
Filed under: Homo sapiens (human)
Lineage: Eukaryota; Metazoa; Chordata; Mammalia; Primates; Hominidae
Description: non-protein coding lnc-SERAC1-8:1
Source: RNAcentral
AAACAAAAUCCAAAAGAUAUUCAUACCCUGGCACAGUUUAUUUCUGCUUACUCACUUGCAGAUCCAGAGAAAGGCACAGCUCUUAGUAAACAUUUGCCAUCAUCAGAUAGUAUGUCUCUAAAAGUAGAUGUUGAGGCUCUUGAAAAUUCUCCUGGUGCUACAUACAUUUGGAAGGGUGGAAAAGUUACUAGAGAUAGUCAACCAAAGGAACAAGGAAAGGGAGAUUUGAAAAAGAAAAAGAAGGGAAAAUUGCCUAAGAAUUAUGACCCAAAACUUACCCCAGAUCCAGAAAGAUGGCUGCCAAUGCAAGAAUGUUCUUUCUACCAGGGAAGAAAGAAGGGUAAAAAGAAGGAUCAGAUGGGAAAAGGGACCCAGGGAGCAACUGCAGGAGCUUCAUCUGAACUGGAUGCCAGAAAAACUGUGAGUAGCCCACCCACCUCCCCAAGACCUGGCAGUGCAGCGACACUAUCUGCCUCUACAAGUAACAUCAUACCCCCAAGACACCAGAGACCUGCAGGGGCUCCAGCAACAAAAAAGAAACAGCAACAGAAAAAGAAGAAAGGUGGAAAAGGUGGCUGGUGA